RNAcentral lists this small nuclear RNA (165 nucleotides) under Crocodylus porosus (Australian saltwater crocodile). RNAcentral describes it as "U1 spliceosomal RNA (ENSCPRG00005010249.1)". It matches the Rfam family "U1 spliceosomal RNA". From Rfam's summary of the family: U1 is a small nuclear RNA (snRNA) component of the spliceosome (involved in pre-mRNA splicing). Its 5' end forms complementary base pairs with the 5' splice junction, thus defining the 5' donor site of an intron. Lineage: Eukaryota; Metazoa; Chordata; Crocodylia; Crocodylidae. The record is from RNAcentral.
UCAUUUCUCAGGCAGGGGUGAUACCAUGACCAACAGUUUUUUUCCCCCAGAGUGAGGCCUGUCUACUACACUUCAGACAGGCUGACCCUUGCACAUUUCCAAAAUGUGGGAAACUCAGCUGCACAGUUUGGUAGUAAUGGGGUACUGCAUUUAUGCUUUUCCCUG